Molecule: long non-coding RNA, 290 nt
Filed under: Nicotiana benthamiana
Lineage: Eukaryota; Viridiplantae; Streptophyta; Magnoliopsida; Solanales; Solanaceae
Description: long non-coding RNA (NBEN_LNC035346)
Source: RNAcentral
AGCAACUUGCUUCUCUAUCAACUUCAAUGAAUCGAAUUGAUAGAAAUGUGUCUCGCACGGAAAGAAAUGUGCGAAGACUUAGUGAAGAACUCCACGGAUAUUUUGACCAUGUCAAUUAUUCGUAUUCUCACGUAUUUUCCGCAAGUGAUUCUAGCGAUGAUUUCGACGAUAAUAGUUCUUAAAUUUUAUUUUUGAACUUUUAUUUUGUAUUACUCUUUAUGUAAUUUUCCAUUUUCAUUAAUAAAAUUGUCUUUUUGUUAAUGUCAAAAGGGGGAAGAUAAGGGGAUAUG